Molecule: ribosomal RNA, 390 nt
Filed under: Klebsiella oxytoca
Lineage: Bacteria; Pseudomonadati; Pseudomonadota; Gammaproteobacteria; Enterobacterales; Enterobacteriaceae
Description: partial 23S ribosomal RNA
Rfam family: Bacterial large subunit ribosomal RNA
Source: RNAcentral
CUGACCGAUAGUGAACCAGUACCGUGAGGGAAAGGCGAAAAGAACCCCGGCGAGGGGAGUGAAAAAGAACCUGAAACCGUGUACGUACAAGCAGUAGGAGCCCCACCACCAAAGCGUUUCGCUUUGCGUGGUGCGCAAAAUGCGUAACGACAGCAUGAUGGACGGUUAACGGAGCGUCAGCGACGUUCAACGUCAAAAAUCAGGCAGUGGAGCGUUUUGGGGUGGGGUGACUGCGUACCUUUUGUAUAAUGGGUCAGCGACUUAUAUUCUGUAGCAAGGUUAACCGAAUAGGGGAGCCGCAGGGAAACCGAGUCUUAACUGGGCGUUAAGUUGCAGGGUAUAGACCCGAAACCCGGUGAUCUAGCCAUGGGCAGGUUGAAGGUUGGGUAA